Molecule: ribosomal RNA, 405 nt
Filed under: uncultured bacterium
Lineage: Bacteria
Description: bacterial SSU rRNA
Rfam family: Bacterial small subunit ribosomal RNA
Source: RNAcentral
UGGGGAAUCUUGCACAAUGGGGGAAACCCUGAUGCAGCGACGCCGCGUGAGUGAUGAAGCCCUUCGGGGUGUAAAGCUCUUUCGGCAGGGACGAUAAUGACGGUACCUGAAGAAGAAGCUGCGGCUAACUACGUGCCAGCAGCCGCGGUAAUACGGGGGGUGCGAGCGUUGUCCGGAAUCACUGGGCGUAAAGGGCGCGUAGGUGGUCUGAUAAGGGUGUGGUGAAAGCCCGGGGGCUCAACCCCGGGUCGGCCGUGCCGACUGUUAGACUAGAGUACUGUAGGGGCAGGCGGAAUUCCGGGUGUAGCGGUGGAAUGCGUAGAGAUCCGGAGGAAGACCGGUGGCGAAGGCAGGUCUUCUUGGGCAUUAACUGACGCUGAGGAGCGAAAGCAUGGGGAGCGAACA